GUAGCGGCGAGCGAACGGGGAGCAGCCCAGAGUCUGAAUCAGCUUGUGUGUUAGUGGAACGGUCUGGAAAGUCCGACGGUACAGGGUGAUAGUCCCGUACACCAAAAUGCACAGGCUGUGAACUCGAAGAGUAGGGCGGGACACGUGGUAUCCUGUCUGAAUAUGGGGGGACCAUCCUCCAAGGCUAAAUACUCCUGACUGACCGAUAGUGAACCAGUACCGUGAGGGAAAGGCGAAAAGAACCCCGGCGAGGGGAGUGAAAAAGAACCUGAAACCGUGUACGUACAAGCAGUGGGAGCACCUUCGGGUGUGACUGCGUACCUUUUGUAUAAUGGGUCAGCGACUUAUAUUCUGUAGCAAGGUUAACCGUAUAGGGGAGCCGCAGGGAAACCGAGUCUUAACUGGGCGUUAAGUUGCAGGGUAUAGACCCGAAACCCGGUGAUCUAGCCAUGGGCAGGUUGAAGGUUGGGUAACACUAACUGGAGGACCGAACCGACUAAUGUUGAAAAAUUAGCGGAUGACUUGUGGCUGGGGGUGAAAGGCCAAUCAAACCGGGAGAUAGCUGGUUCUCCCCGAAAGCUAUUUAGGUAGCGCCUCGUGAAUUCAUCUUCGGGGGUAGAGCACUGUUUCGGCUAGGGGGUCAUCCCGACUUACCAACCCGAUGCAAACUACGAAUACCGAAGAAUGUUAUCACGGGAGACACACGGCGGGUGCUAACGUCCGUCGUGAAGAGGGAAACAACCCAGACCGCCAGCUAAGGUCCCAAAGUCAUGGUUAAGUGGGAAACGAUGUGGGAAGGCACAGACAGCCAGGAUGUUGGCUUAGAAGCAGCCAUCAUUUA
This 841-nucleotide ribosomal RNA is filed under the name Klebsiella pneumoniae. RNAcentral's name for it is "partial 23S ribosomal RNA". It matches the Rfam family "Bacterial large subunit ribosomal RNA", at positions 243 to 1125 of the family's 2925-position model. Lineage: Bacteria; Pseudomonadati; Pseudomonadota; Gammaproteobacteria; Enterobacterales; Enterobacteriaceae. The record is from RNAcentral.